AAGUCGUAACAAGGUUUCCGUAGGUGAACCUGCGGAAGGAUCAUUAACACGUAUCCAAACGUUAAAACCCCCCCCGUGAACAUUCAUCCUGCUCUUGUAACCCGCGAAGCUUGCAAUCUCUGGUAAAUCAUAGCCCGGAAAGUAGUUUUGAUUCAGAGACCUCUGGCCCGUGAGAUUCUUUGAGACGUUGGGUUGGGCAAUUGUAUCCUACAGGAAGACUAAUCUCACUGUUCAGUCUCCAUUCAUUGACUUUUUCAGUGGGAACCCAUUUUAACCUAUUUCACCCCCUUUUUGCUAGUUGACUUUUAUAUGUUGUAUUGUUGUUUCGGCAAUGAUGCACACGUUUAAUUAUUUGAACGUUAAAAAUACAACUCUUAGCAAUGGAUAUCUUGGUUCUC
RNAcentral lists this unclassified non-coding RNA (398 nucleotides) under fungal sp. RNAcentral's name for it is "partial internal transcribed spacer region". The stretch from base 1 to 46 matches the Rfam family "Eukaryotic small subunit ribosomal RNA", at positions 1786 to 1831 of the family's 1831-position model. The record is from RNAcentral. Lineage: Eukaryota; Fungi.